AUGGUUGCACCAGGCGGCGGUGCAGGGGCGCGUGGCAAGCCUGAGGAGGCUGGUGGCCGAGCGCCCCGGCAUCCUUGGUUCCUCCAAGACGCCCCAGGAGAACACCGCGCGGCCGAGCUCGGCCAUGCCGGUUUUGUCGAGGCGGCCCUUGGUGUGGACGGCAAGCUGCUCGUCAGCAGGAACCACGCGUGGGCAUGGCCUAUGGAGGCGGCCAGGGCGGGGAAGGUGGACGUUGCGGACCUGCUCAUCGGCCACGCGUGGGCAUGGCCUAUGGACGCGCACGGGCCUCUGUUGAUGGCCAACAAGGCCGGCGACACCCCGCUGCACGAGGCGGUGAAGCACGGCAGGAGCGCGGUCGCGCUCAAGCUGGUGGACGCCGAGCCAGGCAGCGGCCACGCGCUCAACGUGAAGCAGCAGACGCCGCUACACAUCGCCGCGCGGGAGGGCCUCUACAAAGUCGUCAUCAAGAUCAACAGCCAGCCCUGGGUCCACGAGAGCUUUGUCCCCUCUGACUCCGUCAGCGGCUCCGCCCUGCACCAGGCCGUCCUCGGCGGCCACGCACGCGUGGUGGAGAUCUUGCUCGACAUGACGCCGCGGGAGCAGAUCGGGCUGACGGACUCGAGCGAGAACAACGCGCUGCACUACGCGGCGCAGAAGAACAACGCCCGCGUGGUGAAGCUGCUGCUCAACCGGAUGGUGGAGCUGGCCUACAAGCGCAACCGUGACCUGCAGUCCCCGCUGCACGUGGCCGCCUACUACGGGUCGACAAAGGCCAUGGCGGAGCUGCUGAAGCAGUGCCCUGACGUGGCGGAGAUGGUGGACAGCAACGGCAGGAACGCGUUGCAUGUCGCCAUCGUCAUCGGCAAAGUGGACGUGCUCCGCUGCCUCCUCAAGCACGUGCGCCCGGACGAGAUUAUCAACAAGGUUGACAACGAUGGCAACACAGCGCUUCAUCUGGCCGCGAAGUUAAAUCGAGCUCCGCUUGGCCUGCUGCUGCUCAAGGACCGCAGGGUGAACCCAUGCCUCCUCAACAGGGAAGGCCGCACCGCACGGAGCAUUACCGAGGAGCAAACACCUGUCGAUAGCUUCACGUUAUUCCAGGUCUACUUCUGGAAGGAGCUAAAGAAGCAAGAAUCCAUCAAAUGCAAGGCGCAACAGCUGCCCCCUGAAACAACGCCUGAUUGGUUGCAGGACCUCAACCAGUACGUGCAGCAAAGGAUGGGGACCUACACUCUCGUGGCAACUCUCAUCGCCACGGUGACAUUCUCUUCAACGUUCACCAUGCCCGGCGGGUACGACCAGCAGGAUGGCACGGCCAUCCUUGGCCACCGGAUGGCAUUCAAACUCUUCAUCUUCGCGAAUACCCUGGCAAUGCUAACGUCAAUCGUCGUUGUCUUUGGCUUCAUCUGGGCAAGAAGGGAGCAGCUGGAUUUCAGGACCGGCAGGGUCAUAGCUUGGAGCCACUGGCUCACCGUCAUCGCCUGCCUCUCCAUGGUCGCGUCCCUGACCACCUCUGUCUACCUCACCGUCGCGGCAAAGGCACCGUGGCUCGCGUAUAUAGUCAUUGUAAUGGGUUGCAGCACUCCUGUCGUCAUGUUUCUGAUGUUGGGCAAGGACUUGUUCGCCACACGAGUGUAG
This 1638-nucleotide ribosomal RNA is filed under the name Triticum aestivum (bread wheat). RNAcentral describes it as "partial small subunit ribosomal RNA". Lineage: Eukaryota; Viridiplantae; Streptophyta; Magnoliopsida; Poales; Poaceae. The record is from RNAcentral.